Long non-coding RNA from Nothobranchius furzeri (turquoise killifish), 843 nucleotides. RefSeq lists it as uncharacterized. The record is from RefSeq and is a predicted model, not a curated record. Lineage: Eukaryota; Metazoa; Chordata; Actinopteri; Cyprinodontiformes; Nothobranchiidae.
UGGUCUGCUUUAUCUUCUGCCCUCCGGAAGUUUUUCUGAUUCUGUCCACAAAUAGAGGGCUGUGAUAAGGGCAGGAAGAGAGUGUGUACUCAGGAUGUUGGGUUAACACUGGAACAACACCAGAGCGGCUUAUCACACGGAGUGGCGGCCAUAAUACAACAAGCUGCCACGUGGAUGUAUGGUGGUGACAGUGCUGACACAGCCUGCUGGCGAGAGGCCUUGGGUAGCAUUUGCAAACUCUGCUUACUGUCUCAGUGAAUAAACUGUGUGGAUGUUGCAACACGCCAUCGGAUAUGCUAUGACAAUUUUUAGGAAGCUCCAUCAUCCAGGAGGGGCUUGGAGUAGAUAUGCUGCUCCUCCACAUCAAGAGGAGCCGGUCGAGGUAGCUCAGGCAUCUGGUUAGGAUGCCUCCGUAAGGUUAUCCAGGCACAUCCAACCAGGAGGGGACCUAAAGGAAGACCCAGGACAUGUUGGAGGGACAAUGUUUCUCAGCUGGCCAGGGAGCACUUUGAGAUUAUCCCCGAAGGACCUGGCCCAAGCGGCUGGGGAAAGAGAAGUCUGAGCCUCUCUGCUUAGGCUGCUGCCCCAUAACCCGACCCCAGAUAAGUGGGGGAAAUGGAUGGAUGGACUUUUACACAAUUAUGCUGACGUCAGCGGCUGAUUUGGGACAGCAGUAGUUCAGGUGGUAGAUCGGGUUGCCUUGUGAGUGUAGGAUCAAUCCCAACUCCCUACAGGGUUAAUCUCCGGUGUCUUUGGGCAAGACACUUCACACAUCUUUCCUAUGUUGGUGAUGAUCAGUGCAGCCGAUGGUGCAAAUUAAAGUUAAAGUUAAAAGUUCCAUCA